This is an RNA transcript of Morus notabilis, 2452 nucleotides long. RefSeq lists it as uncharacterized. NCBI's taxonomy places the organism in Eukaryota, Viridiplantae, Streptophyta, Magnoliopsida, Rosales, Moraceae. The record is from RefSeq and is a predicted model, not a curated record. The transcript is spliced from 6 exons.
UUUCUGUCAUUUACAUUUGUAAACGGGUGCCGCUGUUCUUAAAACCACAUCGUCACCAAUGGCAAAAUGCUUUUCUCCGACAAUCUACUCAACUAGUCGUUAGUUUUCUUCAGAAUCAGAAAAUCUCACGAGUACCGAAGGAUCAAUCAGCAUUUCAUCAUCCACCAAACCAGUAACACUGAAAAAGCCCUAACUUUUACGCGUUUCGUUUCGUGAUCAACGUUUCGAUUUCCUCGAUCUCUACCCAUGGACGAACCGGACAAGACCCUUUCUCGGUGGCUUCUCGAGUUCCUCCUCCGAAACUCCGACGACGAGCCGUUCGCCAAGAGAGCCCUCGCUGUUCUCCCCAUUCCGGACGACGACCCUCGCCUUAAGAAGACCGUGCUUCUCCGUACCAUCGAAUACGAGGUUUCGGAGGGUCUGGUCACUUCAACCGCUCUCGAAAACCUCGAAUUGAUCGAGGAAUUGGAUUCCCGGCGAGGCUCCGCCGCCGCCGCCGCGGGGGACUCCAUGAAAGCGGCGUACUGCGCGGUGGCGCUGGAUUGCACGGUCAGAGUCCUGGUCGGCAAUGGAGGCAAGCCGGGAGGAAAGUUCCUGAACGCCGUGAAGAGAAUCUGGAGAGGGAGAGUCGGCCGAAUGGAGAAGUCGGCGGCUGCGCGGGAGAGCCGGCUCCUCUCGAGCGAUUUGCGGCGGUGCUGGGAUGAGGUCGAGGCGGCGAUUUGGGACGAGGGCGUGUGUAGGAAGCUGAUGAGAAUCAACACCAGGAAAGACGCUCUGAUGCUGCUCGGAGCUUAUCUGAAGGAGGCGUGGGCGUUGAUGGGCCCGUCGUUCGUGGCUUGGGCAGCUAGGUUGAGCGCCAAACAGAGAUUUAGAGAGGAUGGUAAUGGUGAAGAAUCUCGUGGCCGGGGGUGGAGUUUGAACGGUCUGAUUGAGUUGAGGGCUGAGUUAAGGGACGAGGUGGGUUUGCGAGAAUUGGCGAAUGAUCGGGUUCGAGAGAACGUUGUUGGUGAUGGUGUUGUUUUGCCUGAUUCUGAUGGUUUGAUUGUCAUUGAUGAACCUGAAAGCACUGCCAAAGCUGUUGAUGAUGGUGUUACUUUGCUUGGUAAUAAUACUGAUUUAGCCAUCACGAAUGGACCUGCCACCACAGAUAAAGAAGUUCCAAGAGAAAAAGUGGUGCUUAGAAGCAAGCACGUUGGUUUCCAAAAACGGAUUAGAGGACCUGUUAGGAUUAGUGACGUUGAGGAUUUGGAAACAGAUGCAUCUCCCCGCAGAUUCAAUUCCAUCCCAACUCCUGAAGUUAAUGAAGCACAUGAAGCGCUUAAAUCCAGUUCUUUGGACCUACAAGCAGCCGUGACAGACCCACUUCCGGAGGCAGUACGCGAGGCCGAAACUGUUGUUUCUGACUUGACCACAAAAAAUGUGAUCCAUGAGCAUCCCUUGGAAAAUCAGAGGAGAACAGAGGCAGAUGCAGCCAAUCCAUCAAUUCACACGUGCACUGAGCCUGUGCAAUCUUGUGAUGUCAAUCUUGGGAACCCUUCUUCCAGUUAUCCGAAUAAUGUCCCUCGACCCAGCUUGAUGGAACGUAAUAAUACUGCCCACACGUAUGAGUGGGAUGAUUCAAUUGAUGACUCACCUGAAGCAAUGGUGAAUUGCAAGGACAGACUCCACCUACCUAGCCCAAAGAAAAGGGCUCUUUCUCCGUUGAAGAAGUAUGAACCUACAAAACUUUGUAAGAGGAGAAAAGUUAAGAGGUGGACGUUAUUGGAAGAAGACACUUUACGGGACGGUGUACAGAAGUACGGCAAGGGAAAUUGGAAGCUAAUUUUGAAGUUGUACAGUGACAUAUUUGAAGAAAGAACAGAGGUCGAUUUGAAGGACAAAUGGAGAAACAUGACACGAUAGUUACAUAUCUGACACUCUUGUAUGUGUAAAGAUAUCGGUAGUUUUUAGACUCAGGUUGCAGGCUCCGGCUUAGGAGCUGGGGUAAAUCCAGGUCCAGAAGAGGAGUUCAGCGCUUCCACCGCCUUUGAUAGAAGGAAGAAUCUUUUUUCAUUGCGAAUAGCACAAAAUCCAGCCAUGAAAAAAAAAGUCAACGAACAGAAAUGAAACGAAAGCAUGUCCUCAACAAGGUGAGACAAAGCUCAAAAACGUUGGGGACUUUUAAGUAAACAGCGUUCUGAUGAUGUACUCAUUUUCUUUCUUUUCCUUUUCUUCUCGUUUGCUUCUGACCACCAUUAGACUGACUUUGAAUCCUGACAUAUGAAAAGAAAAAUGACGGGGAUUUGUGGAAUGAGAAAUCUGAGUGCUUAAGGACGAAUCUCUUCUCACUCACCAACCAUUGUAAUACUGUAUUUGGUAGAGUAGAAAUUAGAGGAAUGAUUUUAAAGAGGAUAAUGGAAUUUCGGGUUGUUUGAAAGAGGUGAAAUAAAGAAGGAAGAUAGAAAUUCUUGAG